AUGGUACUUAAAGCUCAACAAAACGGCUUAUUCACAGGUCUGGCCUCCGACCUGAUACCAAAUGGAGUAGCUAUUCUACAGUACGCAGAUGACACAAUUUUGUGUUUUGAGGAUGAUCUUACAAAUGCUCUAAAUAUUAAGUUGCUCUUAUAUCUUUUUGAGAUCAUGUCAGGAUUGAAAAUCAAUUUCUUGAAGAGCGAGAUUUUCUCGGUCCGUGCGGACGAUGAGACUAUGCAUAAAUAUGCUGAGAUGUUCAACUGCCAAAUAGGUAAUUUCCCUAUAAAAUACCUAGGCAUGCCUGUCAGCUAUGCUGGGCUGAAGUGUAGCGACUGGAUCUUUGUGGAUGACAAAUUCAUUGAUCACUGUGAAAACUGGAUUAGUGAGGUGCUU
RNAcentral lists this ribosomal RNA (390 nucleotides) under Triticum aestivum (bread wheat). Its description in RNAcentral is "partial small subunit ribosomal RNA". Lineage: Eukaryota; Viridiplantae; Streptophyta; Magnoliopsida; Poales; Poaceae. The record is from RNAcentral.